Molecule: long non-coding RNA, 4607 nt
Filed under: Capra hircus (goat)
Lineage: Eukaryota; Metazoa; Chordata; Mammalia; Artiodactyla; Bovidae
Description: lncRNA (ENSCHIG00010017055.1)
Source: RNAcentral
AUGCCAGGCUCCCUGCCCCACCCACCGCCUCUCGCUGCCGUUUCUUCAGAGCCUGGCUCCCGGCCAGUACUGGCCCUUCUAGCUCCUGGGGGAAGGGCUGGCCUGGCUGUUCUGUCUUGUUUUGUUUCCAGGCGGGGUUUUAGGAUGGGUGAAGGUGCGUCGGCUCUUCAGGAAGUCGAGGGGAAAUUGACACGCUUGGCAAGGGCAUCCAAACCUCAAAUCACUCACUUCAUCCAGCCAAAGGUGGAGGAGACGGUACAGGGCGAUUUCCCAGGGUUGCUGGCCCUGGCAGGAGUGGUGCGGACGGCAGCAUCUUCAAGACCGCUCGUCCUCUCUGACCUUCAGCAGCCAGACCACGGGCAGCAGUGGGGCUGUUGUGUUGGGGUUCGCCUUCGCAGCCUUCUUUGUCUCAUUGCCCACGGAAGAAGAUUCCUUUUGAAGAUGAUCAAGGAGACAAAGGGACAGAGAGAUUUGUGUUUCUACGCAAAAUGUUAUUCUUCUGCCAAGGAUUGCUGUAUCAUCACAUUAACAAUAAGAUAAACAAACUUGACAAAAAUUCACUGAGAACAAUAAGCGGUGGUAAUUGCAUAUUCUCGUCUUAGGUAUUUCCUUUUUGUUCUCAAUUAAAAAGCAGUCCCAGCAGUUGUGUAUGCUGUAUCAUUUGUUCACCUUAAAUAAAUACUUUUGAAUCUAAAAAUAUAAGCAGAAAUAAAACUUUCUGAAAAAAAUAAAAAAGCUGAUACUCAGAAUCACAUCAAAAAUGAGAAAUGGAUUUUUAGGGGAUCAGGAUGGUUUUCAAGCCGCUGAGGUUUCCUGACAAGCCAGCUCUGUUUACAGUUCUAGAUCCAUGAGGGUCUCAGCCCUAGACAUAUAGCUGAAUGGUGCAGAUGCCCAGGAGAAUAUUUGAGGUCUGCUUAGACUUCACAGAACUAUGAGUUGACUACACUCACUGGCAGAUAUUGCAGGAAAGAACAGGAUUUGAAUUAGCAUUCGGUCAGCUCACAGCUAUGACCUACUAGUGCAUUUUAAUUCACUCUGCUUGAAUUCAGCACACGAUUCUCAACUGUGACUAGCAGUGCACACAUCUGGGACCCCUACUAGAGGUGGUGCACAAGCGUGAAUUUGCCACGUUUAGGGGCACAGGCUCAGCCAUACACUUCUCUCUCCAGAUUACCAAUGGAAAUGACCAGGGAAACUUCAGGAAGAAGCAAAGUGGCCGACCACGUUAGCUUCCACACCUGAUCCACGCAGCAGCUGGGCUCUGAGCCCUUCAGGACAGGGUAACCUGUCUCCUCCCACCUGACCUAUGGGCUUUUAAGCAGCCGGCUCUAGCAUGGAGAGAGAAAGCUCUCACACGGCCUCCUUUGCUGUGCUCACACUUCCCACACGACUUGCUGAAACCAGCGUGUCAGGACAGACACACUCAUAAUAAAACCAGAAAGAAGUGACAGUGCUGGCAAUUUAUACCUGGGCCACGUGCCAGAACUGGCUCCGGGGAGGAGGUGUGUGGAUGGGAGGAAUGCCCUGCUCGCAACCCUUUGCAAAAACAAAGGUUAGGGCUGUAUUAACUGAGGGCUGCUGGCAGACUCUGGCUUAAGGGGUUUUUUUUCCCCCAGAACCUUUGGAGAUGGGGCCUCAACUAAGAUCAACAAGGGGGCUUUUAGACCCCAGACAUGUAUACAGACCCAGCAGAGCCGGCCAGGUGAAAGGGCAGGACCCCCAUUCCCAGCCCUGCUUUGGCCCAUGGAAGCCCCAUCUUUUCAGUGUUNNNNNNNNNGUCAUCUAUGCAGCCUCUGUACACCUAAAACUGUCUGAGUUUUUUAAAAAUCUGACAGCAUUUCUGUGUCUACAGUUCAUGGGGUCACAAAGAGUCAGACAAGACUGAAAAGACAGCACGCACGCAUUUCUGAGUCAGGAAUUCGUGGAUGGCUUAAGGGUGUGUUUUGGGUUCAGGGUCUCUCAUGACGUUAAGAUAUCAGCCUGGGCUACAGUCACCUAAAGUUCUGACAGGGGUAAGAGGACCNNNNNNNNNNNNNNNNNNNNNNNNNNNNNNNNNNNNNNNNNNNNNNNNNNNNNNNNNNNNNNNNNNNNNNNNNNNNNNNNNNNNNNNNNNNNNNNNNNNACAGGGGAAAGAGGACCCAUUUCAUCCAAGAUGCUCACUCACAUCAUUUUCCCUGGGAAGUCAGUGCUGGCUGACAGCAGAAGGCCUCAGCUCCUUGAUGUGUGGACCAUAUCCACUCACAUCGUUGCUUGAGUGUUCUCAUGACACCGGCUUCCCCCACGGUGAGUGAUACAGGCGACAGCAAAAUGGAAGUCACGAUGUCUCUUAUGUUCUGGCCUUGGAAGUCACACACACUUGGCUACACAAGUCACCCUGCUUAACAGGGAGGGAACUACACCAGGACAUGAAUAUUGGGAGGCAGGGGUCCUUGGGGGCCAUCUUGGAGGCUGGCUACCUUGGCUGCCUCGUGGCUCUACUGCUGCCCACGGGAAAUGAUCUUCUCUCAAGAGCUAUACAAACACCAGGGCUGGGACUUCCCUCACAGUCCAGUGGCUAAGAUUCUGUGCUCCCAAUGCAGGGGGUCCAGGUUCAGGUCCCGGUCAGGGAACUAGAUCCAACAUGCUGCAACUAAGACUUGGUACAGACAAAAAACAAAACAAAACAAAACNNNNNNNNNNNNNNNNNNNNNNNNNNNNNNNNNNNNNNNNNNNNNNNNNNNNNNNNNNNNNNNNNNNNNNNNNNNNNNNNNNNNNNNNNNNNNNNNNNNACCUGAGCUCUUCCCAAGAGCCAUACAAAUCUGAUGCUCAUGGUAAUGUCCAAGUGUCUUUCUAGAAAAGAGUCAACGUUCUUGACCUGUCUGCCUCAACUAGGGGGUGGUUCAGUGUCCAGCCCCAGCCACCACAUCUCGGCUGUGUAGCAGCAAGCACAUUUGUGACAAAUGCUGACAGUAACCUAGUCACUCACUAUCCAGGCGCACACCAUGGCUUAGAUGCAGCUUGAAAGCAAGGCCCACCCCCAGAGAAACUUCUAGAUGGAGUAUUGCUCUAAAAUGAGCCUUUGGUGGCCUCAAAGACUGAAUAAGCCUAUCUAAGUGUCCGAGUUAUACCUGUGAGGCUCUGGGGAGAAUGUGCCCUCACUGUAUUCCUGGAGGGCAAAUAAAGCUUGCUGACUCAGGAGGGAGACAAGACGCUCAACGGUAGUAGUUCUGGGGGUUCAACUUUGGUGGCUGUCUGCAGAAACUCCAGUGAUCUGCAAGAUAAUCUGACCUAAUUUCAACUGUAAACUUAAAAAUCGACUGAACAGAUAGCACAUACCUGGCUGUUUAGAAACAUUAUCUCCUUUAAUCUUCAGAGGAACCCUUAGGUAAGAAUCAUGACCACCAUUUCAUAAACCUGCAAACUGAAGCUCAGGGAGGUUAAAUGACACACCCAAUGUCCCAGCUAGGAGACAUGGGCUCAGAAUUUUCCAGUCUGAUUGUGUCUGACCCCAGAGCCCAUGUUAUACACUCUCUGAGACCUUUCCAACUGAGAAGAGAACAUAUACCCAGGAAAGAGGGAGGAGAGGACAGGGUCCCCACACUGCCACGGCCCAGCAUCAGGGGCAGGAAGACGGAUAGAGGCAGAGGGCCGAAGAGGGACAAACUAAUGGCAUUUGCUGUUGGGAGUGACCAGUCUAAGGAUGUUCUUCGGCUCAUCUCUUGGCCCCCUUCUCCUCAGCCUAGGAGACAGAGACGCCAGAUGGGUCUCAGGGGGCAGCAAACUUCGCAUCUUCCUCCAGCUCCAAGGAGAGUCGGGUUGUUAAUAAUAAGUUACUCUAGGCUGGCCUCCUGCUAAGUUAAGCAUCACUUUUAAAAAAUCCUCACAUCAUUAUUGUAAGGUAAGCAUUACUGCCGCUUUUAAUAGUUGGGGAGAAGGAAGAUUGGGGAGUUUAGGGACAUCCCCAAGAUUAAAAGACCCCAGGUGUCAAAGCUCACAUUUCAACCCAGGCAUCUGACUUUAGGCCCAUCAAGCAUGUAACACCAUGUUCUACUAGACAGAGGUUGAGGGUCGUGGACGACCGCGUGGCCCUUUCAGGGCGGGGUGACAGUGGCAGCCCGCGACCAGGGAGGGGCAGGGUCGCCAGUCCUCCUGAGGGACGCAUGCGGAUGGCUCCAGCCGGGCUCAGGCAGCCACAUGGGAGCCUGCUCCUCCGGGACCCACCCGACCCUGUUGCUUGGGGGCCGGGCCCGCAGCGGUCCUGGCCUUGGCCUUGCCCGAGUCGGAAGGCAGCCUCAUGCUCGGCUGGACAGCAACUGAGGUGCUCUGGAUGGGUGAGCUAGAGAGGGAGGUAUCCAGGCUUAGGCGUGCGCCAAGGACCGGGGCGUGGGGCUCUGAACCCAGAUCACACCCCCGAUCCCUGUCCCCCGGCGAUCCCCACCCCGCACCACCCGCCUCCCACCGCCAGUGGUCUGUCUGCCCGUCUGGCCGGAGCCUCCGCCGGGUGCGGCCGGACGGUGGUGGGUGACUGGGGGAAGGGAGGGGACGCCCUGCUCCUCGGCCGCCGACCCCGGAGGCUUUGUGUAUUCGGAACCGGAUUCCCCACCUCCCUCCCCCGCCUCCCAUUCCCG